Molecule: long non-coding RNA, 1083 nt
Filed under: Phasianus colchicus (ring-necked pheasant)
Lineage: Eukaryota; Metazoa; Chordata; Aves; Galliformes; Phasianidae
Description: lncRNA (ENSPCLG00000006724.1)
Source: RNAcentral
UUCACGGAAGAUGUAAUAAAGAUGAAGCUGAUUUAAGGUGUAGGUAAAGUGGGCUCAUUGCUCUCAAGGGUUAAAUAUCUACCUCAGGUGGGAGCUCUGCUGCAGUUUCUAGCUGAGAAAAUGGUUUGGAAAUGAAAGCCCUUCUACUGUGUAAAUGCUCACAGGUACUGUCCUGAAUAUUUGGAUAUAGUUUUGUCUUUGCACUUGAAUAUUUCAGAAAUAAUGAUGCCCAAGCUGAGAUACAAUGCAAUAUCUGCAGGUAACUUCACUUCUUACCCUGUGUUGAAGACCUCGGGGUCUGGUUGAGGUGGAACAGACUAUUCUGGCUCUGCUGGCAACACCCUCAAGCAGGCAGGAUUCAUCCCAGGAGAGAGUGGUGCACAGCAGUCAACAGCUCUGGCAGUGCUGCAGCUGAAUAAGCAUGAGCCUGGGGUGCUUCCUAACCUGAGGCUUCAACAAAGCAGAGCUUGCCACUACUCACAGCAGAAUUUCUGUCACCGGCAGAAGUUAUUAUAUUCACACAGGGAAAGACAUUAGCUUAAAGGUUGGUGUUUUUGUUUGUUUGCAAGUCAAGGGUGGAAAUUUUCAAAGCAGCACAACGGACCAAAUUAACUGUCUCCCAUUAAUGGAAUGUGAAGUUGCUGAAAGCAGCUGAAGUACUGAGACAGUUGGGAAAUCUGCAGUCCAUUGGCUGCACUAACGCUGAGAAACAUCUGCACCGCCGGUCCUCUCUGUCCUGCUGGCUGCUCUUAAUAAUUUAGAGCAGAGCUAACAUUAGGAACCCUUGUUUUUUUUAUGUGCGUUGCUUUUUCUUUCUCUUACACGAGCAUUUUGCCAGUGAUUUGUACAGACAUGUUAAUGGUUCAGGGUGAAUUUUAGAAUGCAAGAUAUCCUUUUGGUGAUUUUUCAGAUACUAGCGAUGCUUUGUGAAGAUUACAAAAUAGUCUUGCUAUUUCAUCAGUCAGUCUAAAAUGCUCCUUGUGAUUACAUCGAAUGCAGAUGAAACGUUUUCUCAAGCAGUUCAAGAUAUUGAAAAGUGCAAUGUAUUUGUGCAUUAAACAUAAAGUACUGAGAAGUGCAGUG